Molecule: ribosomal RNA, 775 nt
Filed under: uncultured Neocallimastigales
Lineage: Eukaryota; Fungi; Neocallimastigomycota; Neocallimastigomycetes; Neocallimastigales
Description: partial large subunit ribosomal RNA
Rfam family: Eukaryotic large subunit ribosomal RNA
Source: RNAcentral
AGAGAGAGACAUGCGCGCAUAUCAAUAAGCGGAGGAAAAGAAACUAACAAGGAUUCCCCUAGUAACGGCGAGUGAAGCGGGAAGAGCUCAAAUUUGAAAUCUUAAAGGGUUUCCCUUUACGAAUUGUAGUUUAAAGAAGUGUUUUCUGUUGAGGUUUUGGUAAAAGUUCUUUGGAAUAGGACAUCAUAGAGGGUGAGAAUCCCGUAUUUGACCUUUACUUUCAACUUUGUGAUACACUUUCAAAGAGUCGGAUUGUUUGGGAAUGCAGUCCAAAAUGGGUGGUAAAUUUCAUCUAAAGCUAAAUAUUGGCGAGAGACCGAUAGCGAACAAGUACCGUGAGGGAAAGAUGAAAAGAACUUUGAAAAGAGAGUUAAACAGUACGUGAAAUUGUCAAAAGGGAAGCGUUUGACACCAGUGUUGUUUUUCUGAAAAUCAAUUAAAGAACUGUUUAUGCUAAGUUGUUUAGACUUUAUCAGCUAUCUGUUUAGUUUUGAGCUUUUCUUUAAUGCACUUUUCAGUUAACAAGUCAACAUCAAUUUCUUUUGCUGUAAAAAAGCUUGAGGAAGGUGGCUUGAGAUUCGUCUUAAGUGUUUAUAGCCUCUUGCCUAUGCAGUCGGAGAGAUUGAGGUCUGCAGCGUAGAUCCUUCGGGGCUAAAUGCAUUUGUGCUAAGUUAUAGCAUUUUAUAGACAACUUAGUUGACUAUGAUUUGUCUUGUAGCUUACUCGCUUAUGUUAUUUUACCUACGCUUAGGAUGUUGACGCAUGAGAUAUACGC